GUUGAUGUGAGUCUGCCAGGCAUGGUGGUACACGCCUGUAAUCCCAGCUACUCAGGAGGCUGAGGCAGGAGGAUCUCUUGAGCCCAGGAGUUCAAGGCUGCAAUGAGCUAUGAUCACGCCACUGCACUCCAGCCUGGGUGACAGAGUGAGAGUCAAAACAAAACAAAAUAAAACAAACAAAAAGCCUGGUUAAGGUGAAUCUAACUGGGCUUUGGCUUACCUUCUCUUUUUUGGGAGGUAGAAGGUUUUUGGAAGGUAGAAGGAUGUAUUGCAAUGAUUCCCCAGCUUCAUUCACUAGCACACCACCUUCAUGAUUUUUGACGUGUCCACAUAUCAGUUGUACUAUUAUUUUCUUAAUUAGACUUUCUUAUUUUCUUAUCUUCACCUAUGAUAUUUUUUAAUGGAACCAUGGCUUUGCAAUACAUAUGAUGUUUUUUCAAAUAUACAUUAAAAUGCAAAACUAUUAAAAUAAUUUUUUUUUUACCACCUAAGAUUAUUUUAUGUGUACUACCUUAGGAAACAAUGUCAUGUAGGCUUUGGAAUCAGGCAGGCUUGUUCAGGUAAUACCUGUAUGUCCUUGGGCAAGCCACACUCUCUAACCUCCAAUAUUGUCAUAAUAAGUGUGUCUUCCUUAGGAUUUUGGUGAGGGCUAGAUGGGUCAGUUUGUGUGUGUGUGUCUGUGUGUGUGUUGCGUGUCUGUGUGUGUAGAUGUGGGUCUCACUGUGUUGCUCAGGCUGGUCUCAAACUUCUGGGCUCAAAUGAUCCUCCUGCCUCGGCCUUCCAAGUGCUGGAAUCACAGACGUAAGCCACUGCACCCAGCCCUAGAUGGGAUGAUUUAAACACUGUGUUUCAACUGCCUUGCACGUGGGUAACACCUAGUAAGUACUCAGUCACUGUUAACCAUUGCUGUUCCUGCAUUCUCUAUUUCUGCACUUUGUCUGCUUCUCUGUAUUUCCUUUCUUUCCUUUUUGGUCUGUUUGCAGCAGGAACCAGCAUGGAAUGGGUUUGCUUACUGGAGCAUAUGAAAUGUAUGUAAAGCCCUCAGGGACCAGGACAGAAAGCUAAGUGUGGUGCCUCUGCGGGGUCCGGGUGUGUAUAAUAGAAUCUAAUGAUGUGACUUGUUAUCCCAUCGUGCUUGUGUGGUUGAGAUAAUAACAUUGUUUCUAUAGAACCUGCUUUAAAGGGUCAAAGCCCUCAUGGACAUUAUCUAGCUCAUCUCUCUUAAGUGUGGACAAGUGUUAUCGUCCUCGUUUUUCAGGUGGAGAAAUCAAGACCCCAACAGAGGGCUGACCAGGUUACUCAGCAAUGCUGUGGCAGAAACACACAAAAGAGUCCGUGGCUUGUGAUUCACAGGCCAAGACGCUGCCUUGGCGCAGCACUCCCCGUGUUGACGUGGAAGGUGGUGAUGGCAGUGAGCAAAAAAGUGAUCCAUGCACAGAUGCAUUUGUGAACGCCGGAUGAAACAAAGUUAAAAUAGGACCCAGCGGAUGAAGUGGACUGAAACACUGAAUCUGAAACAUUGAUGAUCACUACAGCAAAGGGAAGAGCUCGGUAAAUUGUGCAUAUCGUUCUUAGAUCUUCCACCCAAAAGUAACACUUCCACUUACAUGUAUUGGCCACGAGACAGGAUUGUGCCAUGUUGCCCAGGCUGGUCUGGAACUCCUGGACUCAAGUGAUCCACCCACCUCGAACCUCAACUUCCUAAAGUGCUGGGAUUACAGGCGCGAACCACUGUGUCUGGCCUCCGGGUGGUUUUAAGUGGGAACUUUUAUUUCUCACACAUUCUUCUGUAUAUUCUAUAUUUUCUACAAGAAAUAUAUAUUACUUUUCUAAUCAGGAA
This 1840-nucleotide long non-coding RNA is filed under the name Homo sapiens (human). RNAcentral describes it as "HSALNT0366053". The record is from RNAcentral. Lineage: Eukaryota; Metazoa; Chordata; Mammalia; Primates; Hominidae.